This 237-nucleotide ribosomal RNA is filed under the name uncultured bacterium. Its description in RNAcentral is "partial 16S ribosomal RNA". It matches the Rfam family "Bacterial small subunit ribosomal RNA", at positions 15 to 236 of the family's 1533-position model. The record is from RNAcentral.
GAUCCUGGCUCAGGAUGAACGCUAGCUACAGGCUUAACACAUGCAAGUCGAGGGGAAACGAUAUUGGAAGCUUGCUUCCGAUAGGCGUUCGACCGGCGCACGGGUGAGUAACGCGUAUCCAACCUGCCCAUCACUUGGGAAUAACCUUGCGAAAGUAAGACUAAUGCCAAUGACAUUUAUAGAAGGCGAUCUGAAAUAGAAUUAAAGAAUUUAUCGGUGGAUGGAGUGGGAGUGCGU